GGCGGCGUGCCUAACACAUGCAAGUCGAACGGAGUUAUAUAACGAAGUUUCGGAUGGAAGAUAUGUAACUUAGUGGCGGACGGGUGGAGUAACGCGUGGGCAACCUGCCCUGUACCGGGGGAUAACACUUAGAAAUAGGUGCUAAUACCGCAUAAGCGCACAGUUUCGCAUGAAGCAGUGUGAAAAACUCCGGUGGUACAGGAUGGACCCGCGUCUGAUUAGCUAGUUGGUGGGGUAGAGGCCUACCAAGGCGACGAUCAGUAGCCGGCCUGAGAGGGUGACCGGCCACAUUGGGACUGAGACACGGCCCAAACUCCUACGGGAGGCAGCAGUGGGGAAUAUUGCACAAUGGGGGAAACCCUGAAUGCAGCGACGCCGCGUGAGUGAAGAAGUAUUUCGGUACGUAAAGCUCUAUCAGCAGGGAAGAAAAUGACGGUACCUGACUAAGAAGCCCCGGCUAACUACGUGCCAGCCGCCGC
This 479-nucleotide ribosomal RNA is filed under the name uncultured bacterium. RNAcentral describes it as "bacterial SSU rRNA". It matches the Rfam family "Bacterial small subunit ribosomal RNA", at positions 38 to 518 of the family's 1533-position model. The record is from RNAcentral.